Brassica napus (rape) is the source of this 1478-nucleotide long non-coding RNA. RefSeq lists it as uncharacterized. NCBI's taxonomy places the organism in Eukaryota, Viridiplantae, Streptophyta, Magnoliopsida, Brassicales, Brassicaceae. The transcript has 2 exons. The record is from RefSeq and is a predicted model, not a curated record.
UUUGGCUAAGACACUUCUACAAUUUUAUGGUCAAACCAUCAUUAAAGAUUUAAGGCCCUGUUUUUUUUUCUAAAGACUAUAAAGUAAAUAAAAGUAUUUUUACCUGAAGUUGAGAAUGGUCAAACUUUUUGCAUAUCCGCAUCAGCUUCGAUGCUUCUUCAAGUGAGCUUUGAUUUUUUCAUACAUGUCUGUAGAAAAUUAAAAUAAAUUUCAAAACUGAGCGAUACAAAUAUUUAUGCUAUAUUUUAUAUGAACGCCUAGAUUACUGUAUCAUUAUGCCUACGCAAUUUUAAACUCGACCGCCAUAUUAAAAAAAAAGAGUAUUAAUCCACACAAUGAAUGAUAAAAAUUUCGAACUGGUAUAAAAAAAGAAGAUAUGAAAAAACCUAUCAAGAAUUCAAGAUCAAAACUGAAAAUUUGGAGAGAUGAAGGAUCGUUUGUUUUGCGUCGUUGAACAACUGGAGAUUGUAAAAGAGAUUCUUAACUUUUAACGAAGCUUGUAAAGAAAUUUGUUGAUGAGUUGAAUUUAUAUGCUACAAUUGAAAAACAGUUUAUGCGAAAGAGGUGGAGAUCGUGGUUUUAGAAAGAAGUGAAAAAGGUUAAUAUCUUGUUAGUUCGAGUGAGAAACAAUCUAGAGAAAAAACUGUAAUAAUAACGCAUUUAAUUUUUUCUAAUUAAUUUUGAAGCACAAGCCAUGUGGCAAAAUUUUAUUGGCCAUGUGACUUGUGCUUUAGUAUAUAAAGGAUUUUACACAAUAAGACAGUUUCUACUACUAAAGUAGUUUUUCUAACCAAAUUCAUUUUCUAGCUAAAAUCUAACUAAAUAACCUUGUAACCAAAUGACCCAAACUAACUAAAUUUAAUAUAUAUUUUUUGCUGGGAUUUAACCACAGCCUUUUAUUUAUAUAUUAUUUUAAUGUUUAAGAUUCAACACAAACAAAAUGCUCUGUAACAUCAUCUCCCGAUCUUCUUCCUCAAGCUGUUAUGUCUUCCUCUUUGUAUAACCUUAAACGACAACCACGGCGAGCUCCAAUCAUCAUCCCCGCCGUGACCUGCUUCUUGCCACCGACUUUUCUCCUCCACAAUCCGCAUCUGUCAAGUUCCCACAGUGAGCUCCUCCCACCACUUUCUCCCCACACACUCAUCUUAUGCCAUGGUACUCACGAGCACUGGAGCUGUUCUCAGCGACGAUGGUUGCGGCGAGUUCCAGUCUCCGUUCACUCUUUCAUUCGAAGCCGCCGUAAUCAUAACCGUCAACGAACAUGGCGUAAUGAGUUAGAUCCAAGUUUUAUUGGAGCAAUUCGGUGGUGACUCAGUCGGAAUGAGUUAGAUCCAAAAUAGCUAAUUUAGACUUUUUUGCAUAUUUGGUCCUUGAACUUAUUUGUUAUUUAUUUAGGAAUCCCAAUACUUUUUAAAUGUGAAAAUUGAUCUUUAAUUUUGUCCCAAACUUCAGAAAUUAUAUUUAAACCCCUUAUAGUA